Molecule: transfer RNA, 75 nt
Filed under: Rickettsia endosymbiont of Ixodes persulcatus
Lineage: Bacteria; Pseudomonadati; Pseudomonadota; Alphaproteobacteria; Rickettsiales; Rickettsiaceae
Description: tRNA-Asn
Rfam family: tRNA
About the family: Transfer RNA (tRNA) molecules are approximately 80 nucleotides in length. Their secondary structure includes four short double-helical elements and three loops (D, anti-codon, and T loops).
Source: RNAcentral
UCCUCGGUAGCUCAGUGGGAGAGCAAACGGCUGUUAACCGUUCGGUCGCUGGUUCGAAUCCGGCCCGGGGAGCCA